Molecule: ribosomal RNA, 1448 nt
Filed under: Limosilactobacillus reuteri
Lineage: Bacteria; Bacillati; Bacillota; Bacilli; Lactobacillales; Lactobacillaceae
Description: bacterial SSU rRNA
Rfam family: Bacterial small subunit ribosomal RNA
Source: RNAcentral
UGCAAGUCGUACGCACUGGCCCAACUGAUUGAUGGUGCUUGCACCUGAUUGACGAUGGAUCACCAGUGAGUGGCGGACGGGUGAGUAACACGUAGGUAACCUGCCCCGGAGCGGGGGAUAACAUUUGGAAACAGAUGCUAAUACCGCAUAACAACAAAAGCCACAUGGCUUUUGUUUGAAAGAUGGCUUUGGCUAUCACUCUGGGAUGGACCUGCGGUGCAUUAGCUAGUUGGUAAGGUAACGGCUUACCAAGGCGAUGAUGCAUAGCCGAGUUGAGAGACUGAUCGGCCACAAUGGAACUGAGACACGGUCCAUACUCCUACGGGAGGCAGCAGUAGGGAAUCUUCCACAAUGGGCGCAAGCCUGAUGGAGCAACACCGCGUGAGUGAAGAAGGGUUUCGGCUCGUAAAGCUCUGUUGUUGGAGAAGAACGUGCGUGAGAGUAACUGUUCACGCAGUGACGGUAUCCAACCAGAAAGUCACGGCUAACUACGUGCCAGCAGCCGCGGUAAUACGUAGGUGGCAAGCGUUAUCCGGAUUUAUUGGGCGUAAAGCGAGCGCAGGCGGUUGCUUAGGUCUGAUGUGAAAGCCUUCGGCUUAACCGAAGAAGUGCAUCGGAAACCGGGCGACUUGAGUGCAGAAGAGGACAGUGGAACUCCAUGUGUAGCGGUGGAAUGCGUAGAUAUAUGGAAGAACACCAGUGGCGAAGGCGGCUGUCUGGUCUGCAACUGACGCUGAGGCUCGAAAGCAUGGGUAGCGAACAGGAUUAGAUACCCUGGUAGUCCAUGCCGUAAACGAUGAGUGCUAGGUGUUGGAGGGUUUCCGCCCUUCAGUGCCGGAGCUAACGCAUUAAGCACUCCGCCUGGGGAGUACGACCGCAAGGUUGAAACUCAAAGGAAUUGACGGGGGCCCGCACAAGCGGUGGAGCAUGUGGUUUAAUUCGAAGCUACGCGAAGAACCUUACCAGGUCUUGACAUCUUGCGCUAACCUUAGAGAUAAGGCGUUCCCUUCGGGGACGCAAUGACAGGUGGUGCAUGGUCGUCGUCAGCUCGUGUCGUGAGAUGUUGGGUUAAGUCCCGCAACGAGCGCAACCCUUGUUACUAGUUGCCAGCAUUAAGUUGGGCACUCUAGUGAGACUGCCGGUGACAAACCGGAGGAAGGUGGGGACGACGUCAGAUCAUCAUGCCCCUUAUGACCUGGGCUACACACGUGCUACAAUGGACGGUACAACGAGUCGCAAACUCGCGAGAGUAAGCUAAUCUCUUAAAGCCGUUCUCAGUUCGGACUGUAGGCUGCAACUCGCCUACACGAAGUCGGAAUCGCUAGUAAUCGCGGAUCAGCAUGCCGCGGUGAAUACGUUCCCGGGCCUUGUACACACCGCCCGUCACACCAUGGGAGUUUGUAACGCCCAAAGUCGGUGGCCUAACCUUUAUGGAGGGAGCCGCCUAA